GGGCCCGCACAAGCGGCGGAGCAUGCGGAUUAAUUCGAUGCAACGCGAAGAACCUUACCAAGGCUUGACAUAUAGAGGAAAAGUGCAGAAAUGCACUCCCCGCAAGGUCUCUAUACAGGUGGUGCAUGGUUGUCGUCAGCUCGUGUCGUGAGAUGUUGGGUUAAGUCCCGCAACGAGCGCAACCCUCGUCCUAUGUUGCCAGCACGUAAUGGUGGGAACUCAUGGGAUACUGCCGGGGUCAACUCGGAGGAAGGUGGGGAUGACGUCAAAUCAUCAUGCCCCUUAUGUCUUGGGCUUCACGCAUGCUACAAUGGCCGGUACAGAGGGCUGCAAUACCGGGUGACCGGAUGCGAAUCUCUAAAGCCGAUCUCAGUUCGGAUUGGAGUCUGCAACUCGACUCUAUG
RNAcentral lists this ribosomal RNA (404 nucleotides) under uncultured bacterium. Its description in RNAcentral is "bacterial SSU rRNA". It matches the Rfam family "Bacterial small subunit ribosomal RNA", at positions 917 to 1322 of the family's 1533-position model. The record is from RNAcentral.